Molecule: ribosomal RNA, 460 nt
Filed under: uncultured Enhydrobacter sp.
Lineage: Bacteria; Pseudomonadati; Pseudomonadota; Alphaproteobacteria; Hyphomicrobiales
Description: bacterial SSU rRNA
Rfam family: Bacterial small subunit ribosomal RNA
Source: RNAcentral
ACGGAAGGCAGCAGUGGGGAAUAUUGGACAAUGGGGGCAACCCUGAUCCAGCCAUGCCGCGUGUGUGAAGAAGGCCUUUUGGUUGUAAAGCACUUUAAGCAGGGAGGAGAGGCUAAUGGUUAAUACCCAUUAGAUUAGACGUUACCUGCAGAAUAAGCACCGGCUAACUCUGUGCCAGCAGCCGCGGUAAUACAGAGGGUGCGAGCGUUAAUCGGAAUUACUGGGCGUAAAGCGAGUGUAGGUGGCUCAUUAAGUCACAUGUGAAAUCCCCGGGCUUAACCUGGGAACUGCAUGUGAUACUGGUGGUGCUAGAAUAUGUGAGAGGGAAGUAGAAUUCCAGGUGUAGCGGUGAAAUGCGUAGAGAUCUGGAGGAAUACCGAUGGCGAAGGCAGCUUCCUGGCAUAAUAUUGACACUGAGAUUCGAAAGCGUGGGUAGCAAACAGGAUUAGAUACCCUGGUA